Molecule: ribosomal RNA, 440 nt
Filed under: uncultured bacterium
Lineage: Bacteria
Description: partial 16S ribosomal RNA
Rfam family: Bacterial small subunit ribosomal RNA
Source: RNAcentral
CCUACGGGUGGCUGCAGUGGGGAAUAUUGCACAAUGGGGGAAACCCUGAUGCAGUGACGCCGCGUGAGUGAUGAAGUUUUUCGGUAUGUAAAGCUCUAUCAGCAGGGAAGAAAAUGACGGUACCUAAUUAAGAAGCCCCGGCUAACUACGUGCCAGCAGCCGCGGUAAUACGGAGGGGGCAAGCGUUAUGCGGAUUUACUGGGUGUAAAGGGAGCGUAGACGGCAGGACAAGUCUGGAGUGAAAUGCCGGGGCUUAACCCCGGAACUGCUUUUGAAACUGUGCAGCUAGAGUGCGGGAGAGGUAAGUGGAAUUCCUGGUGUAGCGGUGAAAUGCGUAGAUAUUAGGAGGAACACCAGUGGCGAAGGCGGCUUACUGGACUAUAACUGACGUUGAGGCUCGAAAGCGUGGGGAGCAAACAGGAUUAGAUACCCCUGUAGUC